RNAcentral lists this microRNA (17 nucleotides) under Macrophomina phaseolina MS6. RNAcentral's name for it is "miR-4508". Lineage: Eukaryota; Fungi; Ascomycota; Dothideomycetes; Botryosphaeriales; Botryosphaeriaceae. The record is from RNAcentral.
GCGGAGCUUGGCGCGCG